UCGUUGUGACAGCGGAGGGAUCAUUA
This 26-nucleotide ribosomal RNA is filed under the name Ophiostoma quercus. RNAcentral's name for it is "partial 18S ribosomal RNA". Lineage: Eukaryota; Fungi; Ascomycota; Sordariomycetes; Ophiostomatales; Ophiostomataceae. The record is from RNAcentral.